AUUUAUAUAAUAUAUAAAAGUAUAUUUGACUUCCAAUCAAAAAGUUUAAAUAAUUUUAAUAUAAAUA
Molecule: transfer RNA, 67 nt
Filed under: Pelopidas mathias (small branded swift)
Lineage: Eukaryota; Metazoa; Arthropoda; Insecta; Lepidoptera; Hesperiidae
Description: tRNA-Gly
Source: RNAcentral